UAGGAAAGUCAUAAAUAUAUAAAUUAUAUUAUAUAAUUAAUAUAAUAAUAAAAUAAAUUAUAUAUUUUAUUUAUAAUAUUAUUUCUUUAUAAGAUAAAUAUUAUCUAAUUAAUAAUUAGAUUGAAUAAUAUUUAUAAAGAAAUAUAUAUAAAAAAUCAUUAUAUAAAUUUAAUUAUAAUUUAAAUAAAUUUUAUAUAAAUUAAUAUAAUAUUAAUAAAGUAAUUAGUAUAAAUAAAUAAUAUGAAAAUAAAACUUAAUAAAUAUAUAAAUAUAGUCCGGCCCGCCCCGCGGGGCGGACCGGAGUCCAUAUAUAUAUAUUAAUAAAAAGUAAUAUAUAUAUAUAUAUUGGAAUAGUUAUAUUAUUAUACAGAAAUAUGCUUAA
Molecule: small RNA, 382 nt
Filed under: Saccharomyces cerevisiae (brewer's yeast)
Lineage: Eukaryota; Fungi; Ascomycota; Saccharomycetes; Saccharomycetales; Saccharomycetaceae
Description: ribonuclease P RNA
Source: RNAcentral